Molecule: non-coding RNA, 94 nt
Organism: Teratosphaeria nubilosa
Lineage: Eukaryota; Fungi; Ascomycota; Dothideomycetes; Mycosphaerellales; Teratosphaeriaceae
Source: the annotation of a GenBank genome assembly
GGAUGCGUGGUGUAGUGGUUAUCACGUCUCGUUUACAUUCAUGGAAGUAAACAGGUUCCCGAGAAGGUCGCAGGUUCGAUCCCUGCCGCGUUCA